This 477-nucleotide ribosomal RNA is filed under the name uncultured bacterium. RNAcentral's name for it is "partial 16S ribosomal RNA". It matches the Rfam family "Bacterial small subunit ribosomal RNA", at positions 355 to 824 of the family's 1533-position model. The record is from RNAcentral.
UAGGGAAUCUUCCACAAUGGACGCAAGUCUGAUGGAGCAACGCCGCGUGAGUGAAGAAGGUCUUCGGAUCGUAAAGCUCUGUUGUUGGUGAAGAAGGAUAGAGGCAGUAACUGGUCUUUAUUUGACGGUAAUCAACCAGAAAGUCACGGCUAACUACGUGCCAGCAGCCGCGGUAAUACGUAGGUGGCAAGCGUUGUCCGGAUUUAUUGGGCGUAAAGCGAGCGCAGGCGGAAUGAUAAGUCUGAUGUGAAAGCCCACGGCUCAACCGUGGAACUGCAUCGGAAACUGUCAUUCUUGAGUGCAGAAGAGGAGAGUGGAACUCCAUGUGUAGCGGUGGAAUGCGUAGGUAUAUGGAAGAACACCAGUGGCGAAGGCGGCUCUCUGGUCUGCAACUGACGCUGAGGCUCGAAAGCAUGGGUAGCGAACAGGAUUAGAUACCCUGGUAGUCCAUGCCGUAAACGAUGAGCGCUAGGUGUU